AAGAUGAGGAGGCGCCCAAUAAUGGUAAUCAAAUUCGAUCGCUUUAUUGAGUUUUUGUUGUUUUUCUUCUUGCUUCCUCUGUUCGCGUCCAAUGCGCAGGCAAAUUUAGUCAGCUGGCAGGGGAAUGACUGUAAUUGAGAAGUGUGGGCCGUGUUAUUCAUAAACGAGAGCAAUAGCUCGAGAUCUAAGCAGAAUAAAUAACUAUUUUUUAUUUGAAAUUUGAGAUUU
This 228-nucleotide unclassified non-coding RNA is filed under the name Hevea brasiliensis (rubber tree). The record is from RNAcentral. Lineage: Eukaryota; Viridiplantae; Streptophyta; Magnoliopsida; Malpighiales; Euphorbiaceae.